UUCCAGCAGACGGGCCCCAUCCGCUCCACCCGGCUCUCGCUGGAGCGAGGGCUGGAAAAGCGGGAUGGAGGCGAAGGGGGUAUCUCCCACCCCUCCGGGGCCCCGCGCGCCGCCUGCGCGCUGCUUCCCGGCAAAUACGAGUGCUAAAACACUGCCCCAGCCAUUGGAAGAACAGGGGUUUUGUGACGUGGAGGAGGAAACCUGGAGCCAGUAACACCAAGAUCCUCGGCUGGAUUGUGCUAGAUGUGACACAGGAGGCUGGAAAACCUCAGGCAAGCACUUGGACCACAUUCAACCAACUUCCAGUGGAAUCUGAUAAAGCCUUAAACACCAGUGGGGCUGGGAACGGGUGUGAGCGCUGUCAUCCAGAACAGCGACGGACUCUGGGGUGCUCUGCAGCCGGUGGGGAGCUGCAGGACCCCCUCAAACCACCCUUAGAUGGUGCUUUUAUUUAUUCCCACUGAUGAGGUACAGAACUAGGGGUCUGGCAGCCCUGGAACUGCAAAACUCCUGACGUGACCGUGGUUUUCAUGAUAACAGCAGGUGCCGAGCCUGUAACAAGCUCCAUCGAUCGCCAGUCUGGGGAGAGCCCUUGGUUUUACUGUGCUGUGUCUGGUGGGCAAACUUCUCCCAGCCCUACAUGGUGACCUGUUCUCCCUGAUGUUUUCAGCUGCAAAACUGUGAGGUAAAAGAGCCCCACGGGGCAGCAUCUUAACCCAUUUACUACAAAACAAGACAAUUAAGGACAGAAACACUUCGUAACAAAGUGCUACAGAGACAUGAUGGUGCUGUUUGUUCUCUCUGGACCUGAGCCCAGGGCCUGUGACCAGACCUGUCAUAUCCCCACACCUUCAAAGCCAGAGCCUGGACUGUGUUCUUGCUCUCCUAUUGCAGGGUGAGAGCUUUCCUGGAGCCUCCAAAAGAGCCCAAACACUUUAUUCUGUAAUCUGUCAUGCCUGUCAGGAUGCCAAGAGACACGCCAGACCUGGACCCUGGGCCAGAACAACUAUGUAGACAUGCCCAGAAAGGAGAGCUGGCACAAGGUGUUGUAUAAAGUGAGAUAUGUGGAGCUGCAGGCAAAUAGUUUGGUAAUUGCUUGGGUAGGUUAGGCUUGGCACAGGGCAGAGCAUGUCUGCUCAACAAGAAAGGAAGAGGCAAAACAGCUUGGAAAAGGUGUGGAUCCUGUCUGAGUGGGAGCUCAGGAGAGCUUCAAGGGGUUAAAAAAUAAUAACUGACCGAGAAAGGCUGAGGUGAAGCACUCAGUAAUAUCUCAGUGAGGCCACAAACACCCUUUCAAGAGGGUUUUCCCAGGGAAAAAAAAAAAAAAAAAGAUCACAUUCCUGAUAAUUAAUCCAAUUUCAUGAUACGGUUCAUGAGAGACAGGAGGGAGGAGUGUGCACCUUGCUCAGUGUUUGUGCAGGGGGAUAUAUUCCCUAAGGGCCUGUUACUGGUGCUCAAGGCCAUCCAGUCCCCUGAUGAGCAUUUUUGAUCAAAGUCUUCCCAAGCUGAUCUAUUUUCAGCCCAACCCACUCAAUACCUUGAUUGCCACACAGCUCUUUUAGCUGCUCUUAGGUAAACAGGCUGUCUCUCCUUGGCAUUUUGCCUCGCUAAGCCCAAAAAUACAAGUGGCACAGAAAAUGAGAGAAGCUGCUCUCCUUCGCCAGGAAAAACGAUGCUAUUUCUGAAAUAAGCUGGUUUUAAUACACCUCACUGGCCAUGCAUGGAUGUAUUUAUUUAUAAAUAUACUUGAACUGGAGGUCCAGCUGCUGGAUGCCUGUAUGGAGGCAGGAUCAGAGAGAGAAUUAUGUACAUAUAAACCCUGACAUGCCUUCAGUCCAGUAGCUGUCUGAAUGUAGCAUCUUGGUUAUGCUGAGGUAUCAGGGUCUGACUGCCAUUAAAGAGGGUUCACGUGAGCUGGUCCAAGCUCAGACCAGUGGGUUAUGGUCUGUUCUGGAGAGCUGCUACUGCUGUGCUGUGCUUAGGGAGGGCAACAACCAAGGUUCCCAUGCUGGGAAUUGCUUUGCACCCCAUGGUGGAGCUGGAAGUCAGACCAGGCACUCUGGGGACCCCUCCGAGCUCAGCCCCACAGCUGGUGGCUGUGCACAGCAGAUCAGUGCUGUCUGUCUGCUCACAUCCUCGGUUCUCUGUGGGCUGAGGUGGCCCCACAUGAGAUGCAGCACUGCACAGGACACAGUUCACAAGCCCUCCCUCAGUCAGCACCCCUGGGGCUGAGCCACAGCCUUGAGCCCAUCCAAAUCAGAGCUUAGUCCACAGCAGAUCUUAUUUUUGAGGAAUGACAGUGACACUGGCCAGAGCUUGAAGUCAUGUUUUCAGUUUUCCCCUUAGAAAGUAAACACAGAGAAGUCAACAACAGAUGGAGCAUCACAUGGAGUUACACAGGUCAGCACAGACUGCAGAGAACCCCUGAGUCUGAAGAAGAAAUAAUUUGGAGGGGGGAGCAGCUGGGAGAUAAUUCUGAGGGAUUGAGAAAGAAAGCAAAAAAUACUGGCGUGAGCCUCCUCUGUGACAGAGCAGCUGAAAGCCUUGGUUGUCAAAGCAAUGUGACAGAGAAGGAGAGAUUUUCAGUAGUUCAGAGAGUACUGUGGGGAGUCUGGGGUGAGAAAUGAGGGAUUCAGGUGAGUGGAGUGCUGCAAUAAUGGGCUGCAGUGUGGAGGAAGAUGGAAGGGAGGACAGGGAGCAGAGGACACCUAUUAAUAAAAAAAUACACAUUUCACGUAAGAUUUAUUGAUACCUCAGAGCCAGAGAGCCUUCCAUGCCUUUGCAUCUUCGAGCUGACAUUACCCAAGAGUGGGCAGUGUCAGGGAUCUGUUAUGAGCCGUUGGGCUGAAGUGGAGAAGAGCUCUGGACAUUAAUUUGCAGAAAUUAGGAGACUUUGGUUAAUGGAGAUCUCAGCCUGAGAGGCCCAUGCUGCAAUAGCAGAAUAGCAUUAGCGUUUCUGGAAACACAGCUGGUCAUUGCUGAACAUGCACUAUCACGCAUCAAAAAUGCAAUCACUCAGCUGGGGACCCCAGGAUGGUGGCUGUGGAUUAAUUGAGCCCUGGACAAAAAAAAUUGAUGGUGGCCUUGGGACCAGUGUUUACUACCCAGUGACAUUCAAAGAAAGGACAGCCCCAUCUGGUCGUGGGGAGAGCAGUGAUGGUGCAGAAAGAUGAAGUGGUCACUGUGGACAAAGAGCAGGCCAUGAACUCACCCCAGAGGAGGGUCGGGAGGGACUGGUUUUGUCGUGGAGGUGAAGGGCUGAGUCAAUAUGGGAAGGGAUGUGAGGGUGAAGUUGCUUCCACGCAGGGUGUUAAUGAAACAGGUACUGAGAAGUUCCCGUUAGAAACAAUGCUGGGAAGUUGGGGACGGUGAGUCACCAAAAUAAUGUGAUAAUAAAUGUCAUAAUAAAUAUUUAGCGCAGGGAGAGGGCUAACAAACAAAAGCUAAAAUUGGGAGUGGACUUCAUUACAGCUGAGGAUUGCUUCCGAGGGGAGAGGAUACAGGAUGCAGGGCUGCCUGAUCUGUGGGAGAAAAACAGCAGUGAGUGGAGAGCAGGUCCAAGUGAAUUUGUAUUCCAAAGGAGGCACCUUUUUAACAUUGAUGCUGACAAAUUAUCAGGAUACACUCAAAGGGCAGCAGUAUAUAUUCCCCCACACCAAACCUUGUGUGCAGCCAGCAGACACCCUGGCAGGCCAUGAAGGGAAAGAGGCACCUUGGAGGCACUGUAACUCGUUUGGUCCAUUUGGGAUUUCUUCUGGAAAAUGGGACAAGUGGUUCCUGGUCCCCAUCAGCUGCUCCAUCAGGAUUUCAACAGAUUUAAGCAGAUGAACAGAGCACCUGAUACUUUCAAAUCAAUGCUGCUCACGUGGCAAAUGGAGCUUUAAGCCAGAAGAUGGGCUCCCAGAGGGUGAACCGGUAUCUUUAAUAGCCUGUGAAUGGUCAGAGGUUGGGAUUUUCCCGGCUCCAGCCCGCGCAUCCCAGCUCACGCCGUGUGAGACGCGCCGGAGGUAACGCCACGCAAUUUACCUAUCGGCUGCUUUUCCUGCUGAGCAAAUAUUUGCCUUACCAUGGCUUUAACGUGCCCAUCUCGGUGACAGCUAAAUGUCAACCACAAAAUAAAGCGGUGCCACGGGGGAAGAGACCCCGCGCUCGGCAGCGCGGCUUUAUCUGGCUCCGGGUUUUAUCGGCGCAUCGGGCGAAGCAACAAGAAGAAACCCUCUAUUCCCAAAGGCGGCAUUUGAUGGGAACGUGGGGACACCCUGGCCUAUUGAGGUCGUUUUUGAAGUCCAUGGAGCCUCAGCGUUGGGUCUGCUGAUGAAUCACGACCUCCGAGAGCGAGCCCCUCUCCCUCCCGCUCCCGGGGCUCGGUUGUCUCUGACACCGAUUUGCUCUGGGGUGUUUGCAGCCAAGUUUCUCGUCCGGUGACGGCGUGUUCCCCCUCCGGAAGGGGCUGCGGGGAGCCGCGGCUCCACAGGCCGCUGUGACAUUUGGAGUGACCGGGAGGUCACUCGGACGGAAGAAAACAAAAGCAGCGGCCGCGCUCGGCGGGCACGGAGCGGCCCCGCAGAGGGGAAAGCACCAACAGGGUGCAGCCGCUCAGUGCCGGGCACUGCGGAGCGCACAAAUAAACACGGUCCCUGCGCUGGAACUCGCCGCCCCGGCUGACCGGGAGUUAACUCGGCAUGGACCCGACCCAAAGGCUCUUCCCGGGCAGGGAAAGCAGCCCUGUGAGCCCCCACGCCGUCCCGCUGGCCGGGGCUUGGCAGCGGGGGCUGCGGGCUGACAGCUGACGUCCUCCCCAGCCCAUUUCCUCCCGCUGCUGCCAAGCCACUCGCGGAGCACUUCUCGAAAUGAA
This is a long non-coding RNA of Myiozetetes cayanensis, 4855 nucleotides long. RefSeq lists it as uncharacterized. NCBI's taxonomy places the organism in Eukaryota, Metazoa, Chordata, Aves, Passeriformes, Tyrannidae. The record is from RefSeq and is a predicted model, not a curated record. The transcript has 3 exons.